GAAAUGCGAUAAGUAAUGCGAAUUGCAGAAUCCGUGAGUCAUCGAAUCUUUGAACGCACAUUGCGCCCCCCGGUAUUCCGAGGGGCACGCCUGUCCGAGCGCCAUCACACCCCCCACGCACCGCGUGAUGUUGGGCGACGCGGGAGACCGCACGCCUGGAACCCAUAGGCGGCCGCCCCGGCCCUGCGAGCGUAGCAAGACGGAUCCCCAUGGGGAACCUAGCGCGCGCAGGCCGCGGGCGGCUCGGCCCUCAGUUGCGGCGCAUGCGCCCACCAGUUUUGGCCUCGGAUCAGGCGGGGAUACCCGCUGAACUUAAGC
Molecule: unclassified non-coding RNA, 318 nt
Filed under: plant metagenome
Description: partial contains 5.8S ribosomal RNA, internal transcribed spacer 2, and large subunit ribosomal RNA
Rfam family: 5.8S ribosomal RNA (bases 1-104)
Source: RNAcentral